UCGCCUGUUUAUCAAAACAUAGCCUAAAGUAUGUAUUUUAGGUGGACAUCUGCUCAGUCGUACUUAUAUAAAUAGCCGCGGUACCUUGACCGUGCUAAGGUAGCGUAAUCAGUUGGCUUUUAAAUGGAGUCGGGUAUGAAUGAAAACACGGAGCUAAACUGUCUCAAAUCUCGUUUUAUUGAAUUUACUGUGUAGGUGAAAAAGCCUAUAGAAAUAUAAAAGAAGAGAAGACCCUUAGAAUUUUUACAAAAAUAGGUUUUUCCUAAAACGUUUUUGUUGGGGCAACAAGGAAACAAAAAACUUUCCUAAAUAAAAUGUGACGAUUUUAAUAAGAGUGGUUAAAUUACCUGAGGGAUAACAGCAUAAUUUUAUAAUUUAGUUUGUGACCUCGAUGUUGGACUAGGAAAUGGGUAGACUAGCCGUUUACUAUAUUGGUUCUGUUCGAACUUUGUUUUCCUACGUGAUCUGAGUUCAGACCG
RNAcentral lists this ribosomal RNA (479 nucleotides) under Pleurobranchaea meckeli. RNAcentral's name for it is "partial 16S ribosomal RNA". It matches the Rfam family "Archaeal large subunit ribosomal RNA", at positions 1888 to 2687 of the family's 2987-position model. The record is from RNAcentral. Lineage: Eukaryota; Metazoa; Mollusca; Gastropoda; Pleurobranchida; Pleurobranchidae.